Molecule: long non-coding RNA, 1307 nt
Filed under: Chrysolophus pictus (golden pheasant)
Lineage: Eukaryota; Metazoa; Chordata; Aves; Galliformes; Phasianidae
Description: lncRNA (ENSCPIG00010011073.1)
Source: RNAcentral
CAAAACCAGGCCUACUGAAUCUGUAGCAAUCUCAAGCAAGUGAUAUUCCCUUCUGACAGUUGUUUGCGGAGUGCUGGGUGUGCACCGCGGAGUCGGCAUCUCGUGACCCCCGAAGGAUAAAACAGUCUAUGAUCUUCCACAGGAGAGGAAAAACCCAGUCCUACCUUAUCUUCUCUUUGAAUUAGAAAGAAGAAAACCUCACCGCUUCAAGCAAGACGAGAAUUCAAACCCCACAUAAAAAGAAAAGGUUUUUGAAGAGUAGUAAGCAUUGUACCUGCAGUUUCGUAACCAAACCAAGGAGGAAUACUGCUGUUUUAAGAUACGUGGAGCUGUGACAGAUGAUCCUCCAUCUUUCUGCUGAAGUUAUUUUACUCCAGGGACAAAACUGUUCUGUGUUCUUUGCUUAGAUUUUCUUUCGCUGUCCACAUUGCUGCAUUCAUACUUGGAUCUGAAGGAAAGUUUGCAAGCCACACUGCCUUAGAAAAUUGAACUUUGACAUUACGUUACCGCAGUGCUUUGAUUGCUGGCAACAGUCCUUCCCGUGGAUACUGACACACCUACUGUGUUUGGCACAUCUGUCUUUUUCCCUUUGAGUACGUUGACAAGCAUUAGCCACCGAGAUGGAAGAAGUCUGGGUUGUGUACCUGUGCCUGAUCUUGUUUGUCAUCGUGGUUUAUCUAAUGAAGCACAACCGACACGUGGAGGAGGUCAAGAAAGAGAUGGAAAGCAAAAGCCCUCCGCCUUCCUCUUCCUUUUUUCCCAGUAACGUUGGCAAACAACUGGAGCACACCCAGGAGGAGCUGGAGCACUACCUGGAUAGGUUAACCCACGUCUUCUUUGACACAGAUGCCAGGAAAAGGGAGGGCCACCACGAUCAGAAGUCCCACCAUCACCAGCACAAAAGCGCCGAUGCCAUGUCUGAAGCUGUGGAGCACUCAGGAAAGGAAGCAGCUUACUCUCCACAUCUGGCAAGCCAUACAAGGGUUCAGGCCUGAAACAGCCAGCAAGCCUGAGACCGACAGCACUUAGAGCAGUUGCUGCUCCGGCUUCCAUGGUGUGUGGUGGCAGCUUGCAGAACUUAGCAGCAUUGCAGCCUUCCUGGAGGAGACCUGGAGUGAACCAAGGGGUUUGGUGGGGGGGGUGGGGUCAGAGCAUCUUUCUGGCAUACCUGGGUGAGGGGAGGAGGAACAUUCAACAUUGCAGUUCUACUUUAGGUAGGGCAAAGAGCUUUCCCUGUGCUGAGGCCAGGUCAGGUACAUUUGCUGUUUCUUGAGAAAUAAACACUCCAUCUCGUUUGUAAAGCUGCA